UCCUCCAAACGCGCCGGAGGAUUGGCAGCCAUCGCUUAGCGAGCACAUUCGGCACGGACAGAUUGCAAUAGCGUUUGAGAAUCGUCACGCCGAAGCUGCGAAGGCAGCGGCCCAACAAAGCCUAANNNNNNNNCGACAGGCGAUACACCGCAAGUCAGCUAGAGCAGAUCAAGAUUUGGCGCCAGGGCCUUAGGGACCUGCGGAAAGCAGCCAAAUCUGGAGCCCAGCCAUG
RNAcentral lists this unclassified non-coding RNA (232 nucleotides) under Hevea brasiliensis (rubber tree). The record is from RNAcentral. Lineage: Eukaryota; Viridiplantae; Streptophyta; Magnoliopsida; Malpighiales; Euphorbiaceae.